GUCAGGAUAGCUCAAUGGUAGAGCACAAGACUCAUAAGCUUGUGGUUGUGGGUUCAAGUCCCACUCCUGACA
RNAcentral lists this transfer RNA (72 nucleotides) under Candidatus Vogelbacteria bacterium. RNAcentral's name for it is "tRNA-Met". It matches the Rfam family "tRNA". Rfam says of the family: Transfer RNA (tRNA) molecules are approximately 80 nucleotides in length. Their secondary structure includes four short double-helical elements and three loops (D, anti-codon, and T loops). The record is from RNAcentral. Lineage: Bacteria; Candidatus Vogeliibacteriota.